Long non-coding RNA from Cavia porcellus (domestic guinea pig), 5672 nucleotides. RefSeq lists it as uncharacterized. Lineage: Eukaryota; Metazoa; Chordata; Mammalia; Rodentia; Caviidae. The transcript has 2 exons. The record is from RefSeq and is a predicted model, not a curated record.
CAUUUUCUGGAGACACAAUAGCUUUCCUUGGCUCCCGAGGCCUCACCCUCCUCCUCUCCGGGUGCGGAGGCGUCUGCUGUUUCCAGCUGCCGAAAGGAGGCUUCAAACAGCCCGCAACGACGCUUGUUAAGACUCUGACUCACAGAAGCGGUUCUGGAAACCCUCAGAAGCUUAUUAAUCUGUGGAGCCGGCCCGGGAGCCGCGUCUGCGCACCCCGCUUGCAGGGCUGUGCAGCGGCCCCAUUGUCUCGGCCGCUUUGUCCCCGCGCUGUCUUGGCCCCUCAUGGACUCUGAGGCAGGCGGCCUUUCAGCUGUGCCUGUUCCAUUCCCUGGCUCUUUUCUUCUUCUUCUCCUCCUCGGCACCUUGAACUCUUGAAAUGAAAAGGUGACCCACUCUUCUGGCUGUUUAUUCCUGUCAUCCCCAGCACGGCUCUCUGCCCCACCUCGGUCCUCGUCUGACAUUUGGUGAGUCCCUGUUGGGCACCUGAGGCCUGAGUAGAAAAUUGGUGUCCACCUGCCUUUUCUCCCAGGGAAACUCUAGACCCCAUCAAGCUGAUGGGAAUAUGAGCUGGCUCCUCGGGGAGGCCACCCCUCACCCCAGGGCGACACCCCAUCUCUCCUGUGGGACUGUGCUAUGGUGAACUGGGCCUUGGUGACAGCUCAGGAAGCCCAGGGCUCUGCUCCUGACUUUCAGGGGACAGGCUCUGUGGUAAUGGGUUUCCCGGCAUGCCCUGUCCCCUGGUUCUCAGCCCUAGGUACUCCUGCAUCAUCGGCUUCCUGUGGCUGCAACAGAAACCUGAGAGAAGCACUCUGCAGAAAGAGACGGCUUAUUUUAGUUUAGCAUCCUAGGCUGGUGGACCCACUGCCUUGGGCUGUGGCACGAUAUGAGGGCACAGCAAAGCCAUUCACCUCACGGCUGGAAGGUGACAGAUGGAGAAAGACAAAGAGACAGCAUCUCAUGACCUCCAUCCAGGUCACAUGCUUAGUGACCUGCGCUCUCCCUCCAGGCCACACCUCUUUUAAAAAUGUUUUUAUUAGCACACAUUUACAGUACACACUGUUUCUAUUCAUCUUAGGGAGUAAGUACCUGAACUUUGUACUCCCCUUUCCUUUCCUCCCUGCUCUUGCUCCCUGAUUCUAAAGCCCUUUUCCUCAUUGUCUUUUUCCAUUUUCGCUCAUCCUUAUGACACAUACUGCUUACAUCACUGUGGUAGUCGGUACCUGUGUGUGACACGUCUUAGUUCCUUUUACACCCCCAUCCCUACCUCCCCCACUCUCCAUCUCUUGGCCUCCUCCCCAUUUGCAUAGGAUUUAUCUCCCUGUUUUCUUUUAUUUGUCUUUUCUUUUGCCCUUUAUUUACACUUUGUACCUGUUUUUCUGUGGAUGGACCUAUAAACUGCUUUCAAGGUAUUUUGAAUUGCACAGCUAUGAACAAUGGUAUCCACAUACCACGAAAAACAGACAGUGGAUCAGUGGAACAGAACAGAGGAUGCAGAAACAAUCUCGGCCACAUCAGGCCAUCUGAUCUUUGACAGAGGAACCAAAUACGCUGGAGGAAAGACAGUGUCUUUAGCAAAGAGUGCUGGGAAAACUGGCUCUCCUUAUGCAGAAGAUUGAAUCUAGACCCAAGCAUCUCACCAACUACUAAACUAAAAUCAAAAUGAACCAGAGAUCCGAAUAUUAAAACAGAAACACUUAACUUGUUGAAAGAUAAAAUUGGUAAAAUUCUUGAAAUCAUCAGUGUAUACAAGCAUUUUCUGAAUAGAACUCCAAUUAUACAAGAGAUAACAGCAAGAAUCAACAAAUGGGAUUAUAUUAGAUUAAAAAUCUUCUGCAUGGCAAAAACCAAAACAAAACAAACAACAAAAAAUACCAAGAAUAACCAACAAAGUGAAAAGAUAACCUACAAAAUGGGAAUAAAGAAAAAAAAAAGAGCAACUGACAUGAAUAGAUACUUCUCAGAAGAAGUACAAAUGACCAAUACCUACUGACAGAUCUGCUUAAACUUGCUGCUGAAGACUACGGGGCUCAGGCCAACAACAGCCCACUUUAAGGUGUCCGUCUCAGGGUCCCAAGUCCCACUAAAAGUCUCAGGUACCUACCAGAGGAGAGACAGGAGGCCUGGCCUGGCUUUACCAUGUCCCUCCCUGGGCCAGCCGGACUGAACUUGUGGUCAUCCAUCGCACCUGCUGUGUGACCCCCACCCGGCCUCCGUGUCCCCAGACACCUGUUUGGAGCCUCAUCCUCCCCCACCUGGAAUUCCGUCCACCCUCAAAGCUCAGCUUCCUGCUGCAGUCUUUCUUCUGUGUGUGUCUCUGGCCCCAUCCUCUGUUCUUAAGCAUUCUGCACUAAAUGUGGCCAUCUCAGUUGAGACCUGCCUUGUAGGACCUGGUCAGCAUGUUUUAGGAGACAGGGGAUCCUGUGAGCACCCGGGCUUGAAACAAUGUCACCUGAAGUGGGCUCUUUGAUUCUUCAGCACAGCCUGGAAAAGCAAAGCAACCCCAGGCACACUGGGCCACGGCCUUUCUCCGUGCAUGAUCAACACCCACUAACUGAAUGGCUGAGUUUGUUUACCAAGAGGAGAGAUGGCACCCUCCUUCCUCGCAAAACAAAGACUUUCCCCAGGAGUGAUGGCAGAGAGGUCAGCCCACAGCGUUUCUGUUUGCCUUUUAUGAAUGCUAGGCCCAGAUGCUCUGCAGACAGAAGCUCAUUGUGUGCGCACUGUGGGAGGUGGCUCUGGCGGGGAGGCAGUGGCCCUCCGAGCUCUUCAGGUCUGGAGGUGACAGAGCCUGCGGUGUGCAGGGUUAUCAGCCAGAAUCCAGCUUUCCCAGAGGCCUGGCCUCCGGUCCUAUGACUUCUGGCCUGGGCCAGGGAAGCCCUAAUAAUAGCAUCUAACGAGUCUGCAUGUGAUGCUUCAUUUGACCCUCCCAGCUGUCCUGCAGCUUCCCCUCACUUGACAGAUGAGGGAGGAGCCCAGAGAGGUCAAGCGCUUUGUCUGAGUUCACACAGCUGGUGUAAGACAGAAAGAGGAUUUGUGUCUGAGCCCUUGGGCUUCAAAGCCUCCUCAUUCUACCACAUUCUACCACAGCUGAAUCACAGGGAGGAGGAUGCGUGGCUCUGUGGUCAGUGCAGAAGCCCACCGCACUUUGGACCCGCGUCACUUCCAACUUGUAAUCCUUACUUGUAAUCCCUUUGCCCUGAGCUUGCUCUUCUGUGUGAAGCAGUUUGCAGGCUGGAGGGUAAGAAGGGGAGAGUGUUUUUAAGAACUAGUCUGAUUGAUUAGCAGGGCAGGAGGAUUGCAAGUUUGAGUCUGGGUAACUUAGCGGGACCCUGCCUAAAAAAAAAAAAGAAAAAGAAAGCAUAGAAGAGGAAAAAGGGGAAAGAACCACUUUGGUAAAGUUUAAGGCCGUGGUUAAAGUGGUUUGAGGAAUCUGAAGAACACUGGAGGUCUGACGGGUGAGGGCCAGAGCACAGUGAGCUGCUAUCUCAGACUCUGAAGGGCCCUGGAACCUGCUUCCGGGUGCCCGCCCUGGCCCACCCUCAGGGGAAGUCUUCGUGCUGCGGAAGGGACUUCACACUGGAUGGACUGUGACUCUGAGAGUCCCCUUCAGAUAUCUGCGCUGCUGCACCCUGCAUCACGGGAGGGACACUGGGCCCCUGAUUGGCUUAGCGCUUUGAUUAGAUCCAUAAAUCCCUACCAAGCACUGAUGGGCAGGCAAUCCUCUGGUGCCAUCUCUCAGCAUCUCUGUUCUGGAGAGAAGCGUCUCCCUCCCCCUGUGUGCAGCCCCAGAUCCUGAUGGAGGAGGGGGCAACAGCUGCCCUGAGCCUGGGGAACCCAGACAGUGCUGGCUAAAUGCAAAUGGGCACUGAAGAUGUGGGUUUCGAGCAAGGGACAUGGCAGGAGAGAGGAGGAGCAUGGGAAUCUCCCACUCUGGCCACUGGACCAGAAGGAACAUGUGUGCGCUGUGGUCCCCCGAGCAGCUGUGACGGCCACACAGCAGAGUCUGCUCAUGGUGGCAUCUUCUGUCUGACAGAAGCAGCCACAUGGUGGGCAGUUUGCUGGGGCUGUCACCUUCCCUGGCCUUGGGGACAGGCAGCUCUGGAUGGCCAGACUACCCUUCAGUCUCACCUUUCAGAGGAACCUGAGUGCAUUUUGAUCAGCCAGAGUGAUGCAGAUCAUCCGACUCCUUGAAAUCUUCUCUUUCUGGCUUAUCUCUCUCUCCCCUCUCUCCAUCCUUUACUACUUCCGGACACUCGGUAAGAUAAGGCAAGGUCCUAGGCGGUGGCAAUAAACUGACCAAGCCCCAGCCCCUGCCCUGGUGCCACCUCCUUCGUGUUACAACCACAGUGAGGACCCCGCACUGACCAGGGUGGCGCCUACACGGCGACCACUGUCUUGGUUACUUUCUUCAUUGCUGAAACACAACACUUGACACCCGCACUUUAAAGGACAGAAGGUUUAUUGCGGCUCAUGAGUUAGUUCACAGUCAGGGGGCUCCAAAGCAGGGUGGAGGGGCAGCGGCUCCGGCUCGGGGCAUGGCAGCCAAGAGGCAGGGAGAGAAGGGAGGAGCCAGGAGAGAGAUCAACCCCCCAGGUCACGCCCUACAGUGACCUCUUCUCACAGCAAACCAGCUCUGCUGCCCUUAUAAUCCAAUCACCUCCCCAAAGUCCUGCCUGUGAAUGCAAGAGGCUCUGGUGGAUGGGCCGGGAGAUGGGCCUUGAAGGUCUGAGACACUGCCCCAGGGUAAAACCAGAGCACUGAAAAGACACCAGCUGCCCUGUGCUCCUGGCCGGAACCACCACUUGCCCUUCAGUGGCACAGGAAGAGCCACUGUUGGUGAACACAGCUUAUGUGCCAAUGGAGCCCACGUGUGCACGGUGUCCUGUGUGACCCUCACAACGCCUAUCAUAUGGAUGAGGGCAGAACUAGCCAGUGCAUAGUCGAUGGCAGUGAAGGCCUUGGUGGCCUGCUCUAAUACCUGUGCUAUCUUGGUGGCUGAGGGCUUCUGGUCUGCCUUACAGGUGCAUCCUGCAGCUGCAGGGGUGUGUAGAGCAUAUGGUGCAGAGCCCGGAGCCAGGCUUGGACGGUGCUGUCUCUGAGCUGGGCGACUCGGGUCCUCCUGCACCAGGCACCCGCACUUCACCAGCCUCCCGCAUUUGGAGCAGAGCAAGAGACCUCACAGACGAGGCCAAGCAGGGCAGCAAGGCUGGGCUCAUCUGGAACUGCAGCGUAAGGACUUGGGGGGCCUCACCUGUGCUCCUCACCUUCCCUGAGCCUUCUCUUGUGUUGGGAGCCGCGGCCGACACCGGUCGCCUUACUUGGCGGACGUAGGGCCUGUGGGUGGGAGCGGAGCCUGAGCUAGAUUGCCCCUCCCAUCGAGUGAGCCAAGUUGGCGCCUGCUUCCUGCCCCCUGAUUGCCCUGGCGACUUAAACAACCCGCUCUGUAAGAUAGUCUGCCUAGCAACAACUGAUGUUAGCCAGUCAGCCCGCAUCGCGCGCUUUGAACUGAUUGGCUACUGUUGCCCUAUAAAAGUGAAUGCCUCUCCCGCCACGAGGAGGAAGCACAGAGAGAGAUAGAGAAAGUCCACCGGCGAGAAAGGGCUGGUGACAGAGCGGAGGCCUCGCGGGGCCCACGCGGAGACAAAUAAAGGCAAGAUUGCACACCGUCAGAA